This 427-nucleotide ribosomal RNA is filed under the name uncultured Bacteroidota bacterium. Its description in RNAcentral is "bacterial SSU rRNA". It matches the Rfam family "Bacterial small subunit ribosomal RNA", at positions 355 to 774 of the family's 1533-position model. Lineage: Bacteria; Pseudomonadati; Bacteroidota. The record is from RNAcentral.
UGGGGAAUAUUGCACAAUGGGCGCAAGCCUGAUGCAGCAAUGCCGCGUGUGUGAAGAAGGCCUUCGGGUUGUAAAGCACUUUCAGACGUGAGGAAAAGUUAAUAGUUAAUAACUGUUAACCCUGACGUUAACGUCAGAAGAAGCACCGGCUAACUCCGUGCCAGCAGCCGCGGUAAUACGGAGGGUGCAAGCGUUAUCCGGAAUCAUUGGGUUUAAAGGGUCCGUAGGCGGACUAAUAAGUCAGAGGUGAAAUCCCGCAGCUCAACUGUGGAACUGCCUUUGAAACUGUUAGUCUUGAGUUAUUGUGAAGUGGUUAGAAUAUGUAGUGUAGCGGUGAAAUGCUUAGAGAUUACAUGGAAUACCGAUUGCGAAGGCAGAUCACUAACAAUAUACUGACGCUGAUGGACGAAAGCGUGGGGAGCGAACA